CCUACGGGGUGCAGCAGUGAGGAAUAUUGGUCAAUGGACGAGAGUCUGAACCAGCCAAGUAGCGUGAAGGAUGACUGCCCUAUGGGUUGUAAACUUCUUUUAUAUGGGAAUAAAAUGUUCCACGUGUGGGAUUUUGUAUGUACCAUAUGAAUAAGGAUCGGCUAACUCCGUGCCAGCAGCCGCGGUAAUACGGAGGAUCCGAGCGUUAUCCGGAUUUAUUGGGUUUAAAGGGAGCGUAGGUGGAUUGUUAAGUCAGUUGUGAAAGUUUGCGGCUCAACCGUAAAAUUGCAGUUGAAACUGGCAGUCUUGAGUACAGUAGAGGUGGGCGGAAUUCGUGGUGUAGCGGUGAAAUGCUUAGAUAUCACGAAGAACUCCGAUUGCGAAGGCAGUUCACUGGACUGCAACUGACACUGAGGCUCGAAAGUGUGGGUAUCAAACAGGAUUAGAGACCCGAGUAGUC
Molecule: ribosomal RNA, 460 nt
Filed under: uncultured bacterium
Lineage: Bacteria
Description: partial 16S ribosomal RNA
Rfam family: Bacterial small subunit ribosomal RNA
Source: RNAcentral